UCCCGGAUUUUAAGGAUGCAUCGGCUGUAUCCUUCGCGGCCCAACGUAUCCCAAGAUCCUUCACGGCCCAACGUAUCCCUCCCAAGAUUCAUUGCGCAUUCAAUCCAAAAAAUAAAACAAAUAAUGGCGGAGAAUGUGGAUUUGACUUUUUCAUUUAAAUGGAGCAAGGAGCAUACUGCUCAAUUGAUCAAACUCAGGGGGGAGAACGACGAGCUCUUCACCGGGGUGAAACAUUCGGCGAGAGUGGCUUGGGGGUAAGGAAACAAUCGUUUAUUUAUAUCGUAAGUUAGUUUAUAAAAAUUAUUAUAGGCCAUUUGUAUAUCUACAUUUGACCAUCUUGUAAAGGUUAGUUAAAUUAGCCCUCAUUGAAAAGCAGGACAGAUACAACAUCCACAGAAAUCGUUUACUACGAUGUCCUAUUUUGGGUUAUUAAAGAAAGACAAAAAAAAGUCACAGCUCGCAUCAGUACUAGACAGCACUCGAAAAACACACAAAGAAAAAGGGUGUUUUGACUUCUACUGGUUGUCUUAUUAUUAUGGGCUUCAUAUAGGAUGAGGGCUAAUUUAAAUGUAACCUUUACAAGAUGGUCAAAUGUAUGUAUUAUAAAUGGCCUAUUGUUAACAUGGGCUAUUAACAUGAUUGAUAAAUGUGUCUCUUGUUUUCUCUGAUUAAUAAUCUCUCUGUGUUUAGGACAAUUCUGGAGAAAAUAGGCCUGCAGGGGAAUGUGACUCCCCUGCAGGCAAAGAAAAAAUGGGAUAAUUUAGAAAAAAUAUAUAAAGAUUGCAAGUAUCCAGGGUCAGGAGAGGGGG
Gadus morhua (Atlantic cod) is the source of this 809-nucleotide long non-coding RNA. RefSeq lists it as uncharacterized. The record is from RefSeq and is a predicted model, not a curated record. Lineage: Eukaryota; Metazoa; Chordata; Actinopteri; Gadiformes; Gadidae. The transcript has 3 exons.